CUCUCACUGUCGCAUCCCUGUCUGGUACUAUAGGUAUAGGAUCCGGAAUCUCCUUGUCAGUCGUCUGCCGCAGUAGUAAAUCCUCUAACCUCUUCAUCCUGUCCUCCUGCCGACGCGCGGCAUCCAUCUGCUGUCGCGCGGCCGCAGCCUGCUGAGCAACCAAAUCUGUCAGCUUCGCGAGCUGAUCCUGCAACUCAUGGAUCCCACUAGAUCCCGAAGUAACAGAAGUCCCCACUUCCUCUGCAUCCGCCGCCUCAGCUGCCCCGGCGGCUCUCGAACGAGUCGUAGGCAUCUUAAGCUGCAACAUAAAACAAACAUAGGUCAAUAAAACCUAUACUACUGAACCCUCAUUGAGGAUAUAAACCAGCUAAUUAAGCGAAAGUAAUGAAAUGUAACGCGUACUAACUUCUGAUGUCACGUUGUCGGCCGCCAACGUGACCCUCUGCAAAGUUAGUAAUUGCACAUUCCGAUCAAACCCCUACUAUUCGGAGUUUAUAUAUACCCAAUCCAAGUACUUUCGCUAACAACAACCUCGACUAGACCUCGUUUCUCACGAGCCUAUUCUUAUAGUCCAACCAGCCUAAGGUUUGCUAGGUCUACUAAGACUCAACCCUAGACUCUGAUACCACUAUAAUCUGUCACACCCGGGUAUCAGCGGAAGCAUAUCCGGUACGUGCACAGACCCGCCAUACACCUGCAGUAUAUAAGGCGUCUACAAGAAGCAAGUCGAUAGGAAGAAGCAUAGUAAAAUCCUAUCCUGAUAUCAGAGCAAAGUACAAGUCAAUAUACUAUCGGCAAAAGAACAAAGAGUGUACAAUCCAAAAUCUCGACUAAAAGAGAAAGUAUCAAAACCAUAGUGACUGUCCACAAAGUACAUAUACAUCACGGGGUAUACAAAAGAAUAGGUACAAUGGUGGUCUCUCUAUACAUAGGGACAUCACCCUCGGUCGAAGUCUGAGUAGCAAGGUGAUCGACUAGCAUGCUCCUAGCAAUGUCUAGCUAGACGCGACUCCCUUGCCACGAUCCCUAGCCUCUCCUGUAGCUGGCUCUGUAAAAAACAACCACCAAAAGGGCGUGAGAACUAUAAACAAUAGUUCCCAGUGGGUAAGCCGCCAGCCUCAGCGAAUUACACCACUAGGCUUAUGAUGUACUAAAUGAAAGCGAAAGCAGUAAUUGCAUGAUAUAUAAUUAUGCAAUGCUAACAGGUAAUGAGCAUGUAAGCAACAUGUAAUCAUAGUCUCGACAGUAAUGAAUCAACUGAAUAAUAGAAGCAUAGCAACUAUGAUAAGCAUGAACAUAAGCAUAAAUGUGUAAGUAACUACUAUACACUGUAACUGGUAAUCAUUCAUUACUGUCCAAUUUCUUUUAGCACUUUCCUUUCAUUCACAGGGAUCUACUCAAGGUAGUCCAGCUUGCCCCGCGCCUAAUGGUCCCGUGGUAGUGUACACUCCCCACGGCAAUCCACUUCGGCACCCAAUCUCGCACGGGCGAGCAACUGUCGCGUAGGCCAACUCCGGAGUGCCGGCUUGUAGGGAGCGACCCUCACAAGCGUGUGCGAAUGAGCACAAUGGCAAGAAAGCAAAUUCCAUUGUCCACAUGUCUUAAUUACCAUAUUUUCAUUUCAAUCUACUUUGGAUCCACAGCUAUCCCAGUUUCUGAAAUGACAUGACCCAGAAAUGCUACUUUCGAAGCCAAAAUUCGCAUUUCUUUAAUUUUGCAAACAAUUUCUUUUCUCGAAGUACUUGUAACACCACUCUUAGAUGGCUUUCAUGCUCCUCAUCGCUUCGAGAAUAGAUCAAGAUAUCGUCGAUGAACACCACCACAAAUCUGUCCAGAUAGGGCUUAAAGACACGGUUCAUUAAAUCCAUAAAGGCUGCUGGGGCAUUUGUUAAUCCAAAUGGCAUAACUGUAAAUUCAUAAUGCCCAUACCGUGUCCUAAAAGCAAUCUUAGAGACAUCUUCAGGUUUGAUUUUAAGCUGAUGAUAACCUGAUUGCAAAUCAAUCUUGGAAUAUACCUUCGAUCCUUGCAACUGAUCGAAUAAAUCAUCGAUUCUGGGUAAAGGAUAUUUAUUCUUGAUUGUGACUUUGUUGAUUUCUCGAUAAUCCACGCACAAUCGAAGAGAUCCGUCCUUCUUCUUGACAAAUAAUACCGGUGCUCCCCAAGGUGACACACUCGGUCGAAUGAAUCCUUUAUCUAAAAGAUCUUGUAACUGUGCCUUCAGCUCUUUCAAUUCAGCGGAUGCCAUCCUAUAGGGUGCUUUCGAGAUAGGAGUUGUCCCAGGGGCAAGAUCAAUCACAAACUCAACUUCCCUAUCAGGUAGCAUACCCGGCAACUCAGCUGGAAACACAUCCCCGAACUCCCGCACAACUGGGAUAUCAUCAAUCUUGAUGGCUUCACCACCACUCACAGAAAUACUAGCCAAAUAGGCUACACAACCUCUCCGAAUUAACUGUCGAGCUCAUGAAGAGCUAAUAGUCAUUGCGAACAAUGAACUCUGACACCCUUUAUAAACAAACUCCUGCUGACCCGGUUCCCUAAAGGUCACCGUCCUGUUCGUGCAAUCUAUAGUGGAAUAGUAUUGUGUCAACCAAUCCAUACCCAAAACUACAUCAAACUCACCUAGUUUGUGUAGUGCCAAUAAAUCCACCGGCAUAAUCGAGUCGCCUACCAUAACUGGGCAGCGAGGGCAAAACUCACGAACAUCUAGGGUAUAGUCAGGUACAAUCACUCGUCCUGGAUACAAGGUAGGUGCUAAAGGAAUGCUAUGCAACUCGGCGAACUGCUGAUCAAUAAAAGAAUGCGAAGCACCAGUAUCAAAUAAUGCACGAACACGAAUAUCAUAAAGCAUAAUGAUACCUGUUACGACCUCCUCUGAUGCUGCGGCGCCCUCAGUCUGGGCGGCGUAGAUCUGCCCACUUGAACCCUGCUGCGAACUCUCCGACUGCCGCUGUCCUGGUGGUCGCCUAGACUGAUAGGGUGCUGUCGGGGUCCCCUAGCUCGGAGCUGAAGAUGCAGGCGCAGAAGCUGACGAGGGUGCAGGCAAAGAACCUCUCGGGCACUCUGAGCGAAAGUGGCCCUCCUGACCACAGAGAAAACAUCUGCCCCCACGUUGUGGACACUGUGGCGGUACGUGAGGCCCACCACAGAUAACACAACGCGGCUGUGGACGACGCUCGGGUGCUCCACGGCGUGCUGACGAACCUCGGCCCCUCGACUGUCCCGACUGGCCUCUCGGAUACUUAGGCGGUCUCCUGAAAGAUUGCUGACCACUGCUCUCUGCUGCUGGUCUCUUUCCCUUGCUUCGAUCCACGACAUCUCUUUCUUUCAUAAUCUCCGCCCCCUUCUCAACAAUCAUGGCCCGAUUCACCACAUCUCUGUAAGUCGAGAGGUUUGACGCCUGGACUAAUCUGAAAAUUGCAGGUCGCAAACCCACCUCAAAUAUGCGAGCCUUGUCCUCAUCAUCUCAAACCACAAAAGGAACGCAGUGCAGUAAUCGAGAGAACUCUCGCUCAUACUCUACCACUGUCCUGUCUCCCUGCCUCAAAUUUCUCAAAUCCCUUUCCAUCUGCCUCUUCACACUCUGAGGAAAAUAGGUCGUCAACAACAAUUCCUUGAACCUGUUCCACGUGAUAGCGGACAAAUCAGUAUGGGGAUCCUCACGAAUGUCCACCCACCACCUGUAAGCCUCGCCGUCAAGGUGGUGCGUCGCAAACCAAACUCGAUAUCGCUCCUCGACGAAGGUAUCAUAGAAUAACUUCUCCAUGUGCAUUAACCAUUUCUCGACCACGCAGUGAUCUGCUUUCUCCCCGUCAAAGAUACGAGGGGUGCAACGACGGAAUUCAUUCAAUUGUUCCAUCAUCCGCUCUCGCACCUCAGCCCCCACCAUCUCUGGUAACACUGUCCCUGAUGCCGGUACAGUACUCGGUAGUGUACUGACUGUCCCGUCGUCCCCCGCCUCGACUAUGGGUUGUCAGGUAUUCUUGUGCAAUCUUACCUUCACUGAUCGCAUCCUGUCUGGUACUAUAGUAAUAAGGACCGGAAUCUCCAUUGCGGAGUGCGCUGGCUGCCCGGCAGUAGUAAAUCCUCUAACCUCUUUCUUCCUGUCCUCCUGCCGACAGCGCGCGCAUCCAUUCUGCUGGCGGUCGUCCAGGGGGCGCAGCCUGCGAGCAAACCAAAUCUGUCACUUCGUCGACUGACCUUCAACUCAUGCGAUCGCCCUAAUCCGAAUAAACAGAAUCCCCUACUUUCCUCUGCGCAUCCCGCUCAGCUGCCGCCCGCGCUCUCGAACGAUCGGAGCAUCUAAUCUGGCAACAUAAAACAAACAUAGGUCAAUAAUAGUAGUGAGAGUGAUAUGCGCGCAUCAUUGAGAUAUAAACCCAGCUAAUAAGGCGAUGAAUAAUUGAAAGUACCGCGUUCUAACUCUGAUUCACGUGUCGGCCGCCAAGACACCUCCAAAGAUUUAGUAAUUGCACAUUCCGAUCAAACCCCUACUAUUCGGAAGUUUAUUCCCAAUCCAAGUACUUUCGUAACAACAACCUCGACUUAACCUCGGUUCAUCACAGCCUAUUCUUAUACCCAACCAUCGCUAAGGUUGCUCUAGUCUACUUAAGACUCACCAGACCUCUGAUACACUAUAUCUGUUCACAGCUACGGGAUCAGCGAAGCAUAUCCGUAACGUGCACAACUCCGCAUACCCUGCAAGUAUUAUUAUAGUCUAACAAAACCAAGUCGAUAGGGAAAAGCAUAGUAAAUCCUAUCCUGAUUAUCAAGAAGCACAGUACAACAUCAAUUAAACUAUCCAAAAACAAUAGUGUACAAUCCAAAAUCUCGACUAAAAAAAGAGAAAGUAUACAACCAAUAGUAUCUGUCCACACUAAAGUACAUAUACCACGGGGUAUCAAAGAAUAUACAUUAUGGUGGUGCCUCUCUAUACAUAGUGGACUCACCCCGUUCAAGUCUAGAGCAAGUGAUCGACUAGCCCGCCUCAAUUAGCAAUUCUCACUGACCUGCGAUCUAUCCCUUCCACGAUCCCUAUCCUACCUAGCUGCUGUAAAAAACAACCAACAAAAGGGCGUAGAACUCAUAAACAAUAGUUCCCAGUGUAAGCCGCCAUCCUCAGGAAUUCAUCCACUAGGCCUUAUUAUUAACUAAAUGAAAGCGAAAGCAUAAUUGCAUAUAUAUAAUAUAUCAAUGCAACAGUAAUGUACAUGCUAAGCAACAUAAUCAUAGUCUCGACAGUAAUGAACAACUGAAAAUAUAAGCAUAGCAACUAUGAUUAACAUUAACAUAACAUAAAUGUGUAAGUAACUACUUAUAACACUGUAACGUAAUCACAAUUACUGUCCAAUUUCUUCUUAAUGCACUUUUCCUUCAUCACCAGGAUCUACUCAAAGUACUCCACUUCCCCAGCGCACUUAAUUUCCCGUGAUAUGACACUCACCACGCAAUCCACGGCACCCACUCUCAAGCACGGCGAGAAUGUCGCGUAGUCCAACUCCGAGUCUCGCUUUAGGGAGUCGACCCUCACAACGUUUGCGAAAGACACAUGGCAAAAAGCAAAUCCAUGUCCACUAUCUUAAUUACCAUAUUUUUCAUAUUGCAAUUUCUCAGUCUCGAUCCUCGAUCGGCAUUUCAAUAUAACAAAUAUUACAACAACUAGAAUCCACUAGAUUAAUAAACAUGCAAGAAUAAUGCUAAUUUCCACAUGGCAUUAGAAUCUUUUCACGAUCAUGGCACUAUAAACAUAAUCAUAAGCAUGACAUCAUUCUCUACUUUAUAGUCAAGAAAGUAUCAUAAGGAUGUCACGGUUUUCUAUUCUCUAGAAACAUGAUAACUUGUCCAUUAAUCACUCAACUAAAUUAAACAUGUAUAUAAGGACUUAUAUGCAUGAGUGUUCUCUACUUCAUAGAGAUUUCAAUUCAAUUAUAUAUCAACGCUAUAAUAUAGUGACUCGUCUCAAGUUCUAUAUCAAUCACAAAAGCAUACAACUGUAUCAAUUCUAUAAUACAUAUAGAACAUAGGGGGCUCCACUUGCUCUGGUUAGGUCAAACCCACCAAUUACUAAGCUCCAAAUAGUCCAAAGGAAGUCCCAAAAUCGGCUCAACGAAGCCCCAAUGCUGCUGAAAACAGGGUACAAGAGUCGAGUCAAUACUAUAACCGAAAUGUCCAAUUUCGGUACGAUUCGCACGUAAAGCAAAGUAGGAAUUUAAUUCCCUAUUUAGGGCUAGUUUGAUACCUCAAAUUAGGCUUCCAAAAGGCCCUCCACUGCCAAUCAAAGACGGUCCAAGGGUCAAAUGCCCUCUCGCUGCG
Molecule: long non-coding RNA, 6310 nt
Filed under: Ananas comosus (pineapple)
Lineage: Eukaryota; Viridiplantae; Streptophyta; Magnoliopsida; Poales; Bromeliaceae
Description: long non-coding RNA (ACOM_LNC037815)
Source: RNAcentral